CUUACGCAAUAUCCUCGUGACGGGGCUAACGGUGACGAGAAUACGCCCCAAACUACAACACGUGCGGCGGUGUCGACCCCCUGCUGUAGCCGACUGAGCGCUCUACAUUUUUCGUUUGUUACUCUACACUCAGACACGCCAAAGGACCGUUCUGUAUCAACAAGAGUUUCUGAAGUUGGUUGGGCAAACCUUACAGCCGCAUAUAUCUCCUUUGCGCGCUCUCUCUUCCACAUAAUGGAUCAUUCUAAAUCAAAUGCUGUCGCGGUUAACGUAGUGAACGGACAUUCUAAAAGUGAUGAAGCUUCGGUAACCGAAUCCACCGUAGAGUCACCCGUGUUUUGCUGCGGCUGUCUGAGGCGGAUCAGAGGCUGGAUCCCCGUGCAUUAUAAAGAAGAGAUUGGCCAAAUUCUGAAACUAACGGGACCGGUGGUUAUAUCCCAGCUGAUGAUCUUUCUGAUCAGUUUUGUCAGCACUGUGUUCUGUGGUCACCUGGGGAAGACUGAGCUGGCUGGGGUGGCACUGGCUAUAGCGGUGAUCAAUGUCACCGGCCUCUCCAUUGGCUCUGGCCUGGCAUCAGCCUGUGACACUCUCAUAUCUCAGACAUUUGGCAGUGGUAAUAUGAAUCGUGUUGGCAUGAUUCUACAAAGGGGGGUUCUGAUUCUUCUCCUGGCCUGCUUCCCCUGCUGGGCUCUCCUCAUCAACACUGAACCCAUCCUAUUGGCUGUUAAACAGAGCCCGGAGGUCGCCAGGCUCUCCCAGCUGUAUGUGAUGAUCUUCAUGCCAGCCUUGCCGGCUGCCUUCAUGUUCCUGCUGCAGGGGAAAUAUCUGCAGAAUCAGGGUAUCAUCUGGCCUACCGUGCUAGUAGGAGUGGUGGGGAACAUUCUCAAUGCUCUCAUCAACUACAUCUUCCUCUAUGUGCUGGACCUGGGCGUAGCUGGUUCUGCUGCAGCCAACUCCAUCUCCCAGUACUCCCUGGCUGUCUUUCUCUACUGCUAUAUUGUCUGGCAGGGUCUGCACAAGGCCACCUGGGAAGGUUGGUCAGCUGACUGCCUGCAGGAGUGGGGUCAGUUCAUCACACUGGCCAUCCCAAGUAUGCUAAUGCUGUGUUUGGAAUGGUGGACCUAUGAGAUCGGCGGUUUCCUGGCAGGUCUUAUCAGUGAGGUGGAGUUGGGGGCUCAGUCUGUUGUCUAUCAGCUAGCUGUCAUCACCUACAUGUUUCCUCUUGGAUUCUCAGUAGCAGCCAGUGUGAGGGUGGGCAACGCUCUGGGUGCAGGGAACACAGAACAGGCCAAGCUGUCUGGGAAGGUUGCCUCCAUCUGUGCAUUCAUCGUCUCGUGUUUUGUCAGUACGUUUGUCCUCGUGACUAAAGACGUGAUGGGGUACAUCUUUACCACAGAGCAGGACAUUGUGAAGAGGGUGGCUGACAUCAUGAUCCUGUAUGGCUUCUUCCAUCUGGCAGACACCUUCGUGGGCGUAAUGGGCGGUGUCGUGCGUGGAGCAGGAAAGCAGAAGAUUGGAGCGUUGUGUAAUCUGGUGGGGUACUACUUCAUUGGCUUCCCCAUCGGAGUCUCCCUCAUGUUCCCUAACAAGAUGGGCAUCAUAGGUUUGUGGAUAGGCCUAUUCACCUGUGUGUUAAUCCAGUCCUUGUUCUUGGUAGUUCUGCUGUGUAAACUGGACUGGAAAAAAGCCAGUCAAGAGGCUCUGGUGAGGGCAGGAGUCCAGCUCCCUGAAAUGAAAGAAGAGCAGUUUGGACUGGAGAAGAGAGGCUGGUCGGAGGCGGUCCCACCCAGCGACGAGAGCCCUGGGGAGGGAAAGACGGACGUGGAGGGGCUGGGUGGGGACAGGGGGCAAGGCGGGGGGGAGUUAGAGGCUGAGGCGGGGCCGGUGGUCAGUACGGUGAGGUUGACUGUCAGACAGCUGGUGCUUCGUCGUGGGCUAGUUGUCAUCCUCAUGUUCCUCAUCCUCACCGCUGGAAUCCUCCUCAGUGAACUGCUCACCAGCCUGCUGCUCGGAUAAACUGAGCCAAAGAGAUUACCCACAGCCACAUAUACAGUACAGGAGGUUACUACAGCCACAUAUACAGUACAGGAGGUUACUACAGCCACAUAUACAGUACAGGAGGUUAUACAGCCACAUAUGCAGUACAGGAGUUUACCACAGCCACAUAUACAAUACAGGAGGUUACCCACAGCCACAUAUACAGUACAGGAGGUUACUCACAACCACAUAUACAGGAGGUUACAGUCAAACACAUAUACAGGACUUUACAGUCAACCACAUAUACAGUACAGGAGGAUACCCUCAACCACAUAUACAGGAGAUUACAAUCAACCACAUAUACUGUACAGGGGGUUACAGUCAACCACAUAUACAGGAGGUUACACACAACCACAUAUACAGUACAGGAGGCUACACACAACCACAUAUACAGUACAGGAGGUUACCCACAGCCACAUAUACAGUACAGGAGGUUACCACAGCCACAUAUUCAAUACAAGAGGUUACCACAGCCACAUAUACAGUGCAGGAGAUUACCCACAGCCACAUGUACAGUACAGGAGGUUACCCACAGCCAGAUAUACAGUACAGGAGGUUACUCACAGCGACAAAUACAGUACAGGAGGUUUCCCACAGUACAGGAGGUUACCACAGCCACAUAUACAGUACAGGAGGUUUCCCACAGUACAGGAGGUUACCCACAGCCACAUAUACAGUACAGGAGGUUACCCACAGCCACAUAUGCAGUACAGGAGGUUACCCAUUGUACAGGAGGUUACCCACAGCCACUUAUAUAGUACAGGAGCUUUCCCACACCCAGAUAUACAGUACAGGAGGUUACCCACAGCCACAUAUGCAGUACAGGAGUCAACCACAUAUAUAGUACAGGGAGCUACAGUCAACCACAUAUACAGGAGGUUACACACAACCACAUAUACAGUACAGGAGGUUACCACAGCCACAUAUUCAAUACAAGAGGUUACCACAGCCACAUAUGCAGUGCAGGAGAUUACCCACAGCCACAUAUGCAGUACAGGAGGUUUCCCACAGUACAGAAGGUUACCCACAGCCACAUAUAUAGUACAGGAGCUUUCCCACAGCCAGAUAUACAGUACAGUAGGUUACCCACAGCCACAUAUGCAGUACAGGAGGUUACCCACAGUACAGGAGGUUACCCACAGCCACAUAUAUAGUACAGGAGAAUACCCAUAGUACAGGAGAUUACCCACAGCCACACAUACAGUGCAGGAGGUUACUACAGUCACAUUUACAAUACAGGAGGUUACCCACAGCCACAUAUACAGUACAGGAGGUUACCCACAGCCACAUAUACAGGAGGUUACUCACAACCACAUAAACAGGAGGUUACAGUCGACCACAUAUCCUGGAGGUUACAGUCAACCACAUAUACAGUACAGGAGAUUACAGUCAACCACAUAUGCAGUACAGGAGGUUACCCACAGUACAGGAGGUUACCCACAGCCACAUAUAUAGUACAGGAGGUUACCCAUAGUACAGGAGAUUACCCACAGCCACACAUACAGUGCAGGAGGUUACCACAGCCACAUGUACAAUACAGGAGGUUACCCACAGCCACAUAUACUAUACAGGAGGUUACUACAGUCAGAUUUACAAUACAGGAGAUUACCCACAGCCACAUAUACAGUACAGGAGGUUACCCACAGCCACAUAUACAGGAGGUUACUCACAACCACAUAUACAGGAGGUUACAGUCAACCACAUAUACAGUACAGGAGAUUAGGCAACCACAUAUACAGUACAUGAGCCAUAUGUAUUUAAACCAAAGAUGGUACUCACACAGCCAUACAGGAGUUACUGUAUGACCCAAAUAUACAUAUACAGUACAGGAGGUUACAGUCAACCACAUAUACAUGAGCCAUAUGUAUUUAAACCAAAGAUGGUACUCACACAGCCAUACAGGAGUUACUGUAUGACCCAAAGGGUUCCCUGCUGUGGACAUUUAAUCAUGGACAAUAGAAGGGAAUGAUCACUAACCCAGAAGGCAACAUUUGGCACAUUAUGUCGUCUUAAUAAUGUAAUUUACUGGUUAUUAACUGGAUAAGAAUUUGUAUAGCCAGAUGACAACCCUGGUCUCUGUUACCAGUUAGACAUAUCUUGACAAGAUCAGGAUGGGAAGGACCUUUCAUUUUGGUUGUUAUCAGAUUACAGACAGUAUUUUCCUGGUUGGUAAAAAGACGUUAAGGAAACUUCCUACAACCGGUAUACAACCUGACCAGUUUUGCCCACUGGGAACAGGUUCAGGGUUGGUCAUCCCUUGAAGGUUAUUAACACUGUUAGCAUUGCAGGGCAUGUCGGAAUGGCUUCCACUGACUUGAGAAGGUUGUGGAAACAAUGCUCUUAAUUAGAUAAGGAGAUGUGUGUUCGGUAACAAAGCUCUUUUUUAAGGAGAUGUUUUUCUGGUGGCUACUAAUAACAACAAGUCUGUUGUGUUUUGAAGUGGAGCUGGUUCCCUAUUCUGCUUUUCACGUUCUGUCAUCAUUAAAUUAAAUUUGCAUAAA
This is a non-coding RNA of Oncorhynchus mykiss (rainbow trout), 4538 nucleotides long. The record is from RefSeq and is a predicted model, not a curated record. Lineage: Eukaryota; Metazoa; Chordata; Actinopteri; Salmoniformes; Salmonidae.